Long non-coding RNA from Homo sapiens (human), 1608 nucleotides. Lineage: Eukaryota; Metazoa; Chordata; Mammalia; Primates; Hominidae. The record is from Ensembl.
AUUUGCAACUUUACCAGGUAGUAAAUAACCUCCUGAAGCAAAGAACCAAGAGCCUUCUUCUUGGGCUCCCGGGAAUGGGUUAGAUGCAAGCGGCUUCUGGUUCUCACUUGCUUCAUUGUCACCAAGAAUAAAUUCCCAAACAUACACUAGAGUCCACCUGAGAGUCUAAAAUGGGGCACAAAACAAUUAACAAAGGACUCUAGAUGAGUGCUGCUUUGUCAACUGUGGCUGCUUACAGGAGCUGGAACCAUUUAGACAUUUGGAGAUUUCACAAAAGUCCUUGCAAUCCCACAGCAAGGUAACGCAAUUUACGUUGCCUGAGACACACUUCUAUCUCUAUUGAAAAUAUACAAUUUUCAGGCUGCUUGAGAAAAGACUAUUACACAGUCAUAUAUAUAUUUAUAUAUGUAUAUACACACAUGCCAGCAUCUUUACAGUCUCUGAAAUAUUGAGAAUGCAACAUCAGCACUACUCAAGAGGACGAGAUGUUCAAGAUAAAUGGAGCACUAAAGGCUAUUAAAAAAUCACCAGUCAGAACCCAGUGGGCCCCGAAGAGCCUGCUAAGAAAAAGAGGAUGUUAGUAUGUUAGAAGCAUAAUUAUAAACAAACAGAAGUUUUGCAAACUGUUUCCUCCCCACAACAGGUCCAUUUUCUUAAUUCAAACACAUUAUUUUCUCAAGCUUCCUUACUUGAAGCCAAGAUUGCAAAAUGGUAGAUCCAUUCUUUUCUCAUCUCCAGAUACAUAUCACUCACCCUAUCUUCCACAGUGAAACCAUUGCUCAUUUUAUACCUAAGACUUCAAAUAAACUUCUUGCCCGCUAAAUUAGUUCCCUGGAGGUAUGAGUCAGACUUUCUGAAAAAACACAAAAUAACAAAGAAGUAAAAACAUGCAUUUUGGAAAAAAUGUCAGUGCUUUUCCUGACCAAAGACUAAGAGAGAAGGAGAGACUGACAAAUGGACAGACUGACACUGGUCUCCCCUGAUAACCAAAUGCCUUAUCUACCUCUCUCCAGCUCUCAGUAUCCUAAUCCCUUAUGCUACAUGUUUUCAGUUCUCUGCCUACGAAUUAUUUAUUUCAUAUAAUUUUCUGUUUUGAAACACACGAACCUCUUCCAAAAAAGGCGAAAGAACUAGAAUUACUUCUUUAUGUGCCAACAAAAACAGAUCAUUAUUUAUUCAUUCAGUCAUCUCUUGAGCUCCUACUAAAUUAUUAAGUGCAAAGCCUUGUUGCUGGCCCACAAGUUACAAAGAGGAACCCAGAGUCUGGUGAGAUGAGACACAGUUUGAUCUUUCUAGUUACCUUUCUUGACCUCAAAUCCUAUUAUUUGGAAAUAAAGUAAAAUUACCCACUCCUAAAAUGUAAAUGCUUUACAUAUCUCCUAUUCACUUAAGUAUCAAGAUCAUUUUAAGCUAAACAGAACUUACAUGAAAUGUAGACCUGCGUAAUUUUUUUCAACUUAGAAACUUUCCUGUCUUUGAAAUUUUUCAAAAGAUGGUAUUUCUCUGUCUCUAGUGUAAGUCAAAGGGAACCCUACCUUUGGUUUGUUGACACGCACAUUUUUUAAUGUUUAUGUUCUUGCUUGCUAAUUGCAUAGACAGAUCCUUCAA